GUAGGGGGCAAGCGUUGUCCGGAUUUAUUGGGCGUAAAGAGCGUGUAGGCGGCCAGACAGGUCCGUUGUGAAAACUCGAGGCUCAACCUCGAGACGCCGAUGGAAACCGUUUGGCUAGAGUCCGGAAGAGGAGAGUGGAAUUCCUGGUGUAGCGGUGAAAUGCGCAGAUAUCAGGAAGAACACCCGUGGCUAAGGCGGCUCUCUAGUACGGUACUGACGCUGAGACGCGAAAGCGUGGGGAGCGAACAGGAUUAGAUACCCUGGUAGUCCACGCCGUAAACGAUGGGUGCUAGGUGUGGGGGGUGUCGACUCCCUCCGUGCCGAAGCKRACGCAUUAAGCACCCCGCCUGGGGAGUACGGCCG
Molecule: ribosomal RNA, 363 nt
Filed under: uncultured bacterium
Lineage: Bacteria
Description: bacterial SSU rRNA
Rfam family: Bacterial small subunit ribosomal RNA
Source: RNAcentral